UUAGUGGCGGACGGGUGAGUAACGCGUGGGUAACCUGCCUCACGACAGGGGGAUAACAGUUGGAAACGACUGUUAAUACCGCAUAAGCGCACAGUACCGCAUGGUACGGUGUGAAAAACUCUGGUGGUGUGAGAUGGACCCGCGUCUGAUUAGCUAGUUGGUGAGGUAACGGCCCACCAAGGCGACGAUCAGUAGCCGGCCUGAGAGGGUGUACGGCCACAUUGGGACUGAGACACGGCCCAAACUCCUACGGGAGGCAGCAGUGGGGAAUAUUGCACAAUGGGGGAAACCCUGAUGCAGCGAACCGCCGCGUGAGUGAUGAAGUAUUUCGGUAUGUAAAGCUCUAUCAGCAGGAAGAUAAUGACGGUACCUGACUAAGAAGCACCGGCUAAAUACGUGCCAGCCGCUGC
This 410-nucleotide ribosomal RNA is filed under the name uncultured bacterium. RNAcentral describes it as "bacterial SSU rRNA". It matches the Rfam family "Bacterial small subunit ribosomal RNA", at positions 92 to 518 of the family's 1533-position model. The record is from RNAcentral.